GCAACGGAUAUCUUGGCUCUUGCAACGAUGAAGAACGCAGCGAAAUGCGAUACCUAGUGUGAAUUGCAGAAUUCCGCGAAUCAUCGAGUCUUUGAACGCAAGUUGCGCCCGAGGCUUGUCCCGAGGGCAUGCCUGCCUGAGCGUC
Molecule: ribosomal RNA, 145 nt
Filed under: Mesoptychia gillmanii
Lineage: Eukaryota; Viridiplantae; Streptophyta; Jungermanniopsida; Jungermanniales; Jungermanniaceae
Description: partial 5.8S ribosomal RNA
Rfam family: 5.8S ribosomal RNA
About the family: 5.8S ribosomal RNA (5.8S rRNA) is a component of the large subunit of the eukaryotic ribosome.
Source: RNAcentral